AUGCGCAACCCGCGCGCCGUCGUCCCUGGCAACACUGGCUGCUCUAGCGCCUGGCGGGGUCUCACGGGCGGGCCUGGGCGCACGGCCAAAGCGCCAGGUCUCCACCCCCAGCCCCCGGCGUCCUGCAGCCGGAGCCUGCCUCGCCUGGCUCCUGCGCCCGCCGUCCAGGGCCCCUGUCCAAGCUCGCGGACGCCGGCGGCGUUUUCCAGCUCGAGUGCUCAGCCUAGGGCAGGCUCUGCGUGCGCCCCCUCGAGUGCCGGCCUGGGCCCUGCCAGGCAGAGGCGCUCUUGCGUCAGGACGGCGCCGCCGGGGCCCCGCGAUUCCAACUCGGGGGUCCCGGAGCGGCGCGGGGCGGGGACGGCCUGGCAGCUCCCAGCAGCGAGGGGCGAUCCCCGCCCGCGCAGCAGACCCCGAGCUGCCCAGGCCCUUCCUGCGCCACGUGUACCCAGAGCUCCGCCCGGGGGAGACUUCGCUGCUUGUUGGAGAUGCCCAGCGGUAGGGGGCGAGGACUCGGGAGGAAGAUAAACGGGGGAUCCCGUGUCUGGACUUUCUCCUCCACCCUCUUCCCUUCGCAGCUGUGAAUCCUGGGAGGGGAAGGGUGGCCGCCCCGCCAGCAGAGAGCUGAAGGUGUUCCGUGGUCAGUGAGGGCUGGCACUGGCUCUGCACGAAGAUCUCCUCACCUCCCCAGCGGCUCCUGGCCAGCUCCCCACGGAGAGCCCAGGACACUUGUCCCUGGACACAGUGGUGCAGCCAUGCUUGGGCCAAACCAUGAGGCCACCAGAACCGCGAAAGGCUACUGUACUGAGAGGGAUACUGCGAGAGAGGCCCACAGGUUUCCAAGCAUCCCUCUCACUCCGCACACUCAUCUCCACGACCGGCUUUAAGUGCGGCCUUGAGGCCUGGCUCCCUGUUUGGACUUCUCUGCACCUCCAGGAGCUCACUUCCCGUCACAGCUGGAUGCCUCCUCCCGCAGGCACCUCCCGGGCAUCCUCCCGCCCCAGGCUGCACCUUCUGUGGGACUGGCCCCCGCAGGCACCUCCCGGGCACCCUCCCGCCCCAGGCUGCAGCUUCUGUGGGACUGAGCCCCGCAGGCACCUCCCCGGCAUCCUCCCGCCCCAGGCUGCACCUUCUGUGGGACUGAGCCCCGCAGGCACUUCCCCGGCAUCCUCCCGCCCCAGGCUGCAGCUUCUGUGGGACUGACCUUAAGACCCCAUCGGUUCCUCCUGAGAGCAGCAGAUCUCAGCCAGAUGCUGCCGGGAGGGAGGUGCUAGCGUCCACACCCAGACGGGUCCAGUCCAGCCCUGCUCUCCCUGGUCUCCAGGCAGGGCCCUCCCAGGGUGGACAUUGCCCAUCUCUGCCUGGCCAGGGGCUGCUGACCCACUGGUUCCAGAGUCUGAGCCUGUCCUGCACAAGUACCAUGGACAGGGGUCAGCCGGGCACUGAAGAGGCGUGGCAGAAUUGGGCAGGGCAAGGGCCCCAGCUGGCAAGCUGGAGUCAGGGCAAUUCCAACCAAGAAACUGCGGCAGGCCGGGUGCAGUGUCUCAAGCCUAUAAUCCCAGCACUUUGGGAGGCAGUGGGAGAAUCGCUUGAGCCCGGGAGUUUGAGACCAGCAUUGGUAACAUAGAGACCCUAUCGCUACAAGAAAAAAAAAAAAAAAAAGCUGGGCAUGGUGGUGCACACCUGUUGUCCCAGCUAUUCAGGAGGCUGACGUGGGAGGAUUGCUUGUGCCCAGGGGUUGCAGGCUGCAGUGAGCUGUGAUCAUACCACUGCACUCCAGCCUGGGCGACAGAGAACCUCUCUAAAAAAAAAGGAAAAUGAAAAAUAAAUGGGGGCAGAAGCUGAGCCAAGCAGAGGCGGGCAGCUCCUCCUCCAGGGCCCACCUGGCCUGCUGGGG
This 1894-nucleotide long non-coding RNA is filed under the name Homo sapiens (human). Its description in RNAcentral is "non-protein coding MAFG-DT:13". Lineage: Eukaryota; Metazoa; Chordata; Mammalia; Primates; Hominidae. The record is from RNAcentral.